UACAGAGGGUGCGAGCGUUGUUCGGAAUUACUGGGCGUAAAGCGUGCGUAGGCGGUUUCUUAAGUCUGCUGUGAAAGCCCUGGGCUCAACCUGGGAAUGGCGGUGGAUACUGAGAAGCUGGAGUACGGUAGAGGAAGGUGGAAUUCCCGGUGUAGCGGUGAAAUGCGUAGAGAUCGGGAGGAACAUCAGUGGCGAAGGCGGCCUUCUGGACCAGUACUGACGCUGAGGCACGAAAGCGUGGGGAGCAAACAGG
RNAcentral lists this ribosomal RNA (253 nucleotides) under uncultured bacterium. RNAcentral describes it as "partial 16S ribosomal RNA". It matches the Rfam family "Bacterial small subunit ribosomal RNA", at positions 524 to 776 of the family's 1533-position model. The record is from RNAcentral.